CGGACGGGUGAGUAACACGUAUGCAACCUGCCUGCCACAGCCGGAUAAUCGGGAGAAAUUCCGUCUAAUACGGCAUAAUGCAUCGACGGGACAUCCUGUUGGUGCCAAAGGUUAAUUCCGGUGGCGGAUGGGCAUGCGUCGCAUUAGUUAGUUGGCGGUGUAACGGACCACCAAGACGACGAUGCGUAGGGGUUCUGAGAGGAAGGUCCCCCACACUGGUACUGAGACACGGACCAGACUCCUACGGAAGGCAGCAG
Molecule: ribosomal RNA, 257 nt
Filed under: uncultured bacterium
Lineage: Bacteria
Description: partial 16S ribosomal RNA
Rfam family: Bacterial small subunit ribosomal RNA
Source: RNAcentral